CAGAAACUGAAAGAAGCCUGUCAUAUAUAUAUAUAUAUAUAUAUAUAUAUAUAUAGUAUGUAUGUGUUGUGUCUGUGUUUGUACCCCACUACUGCUUGACAACUGAUGUUGGUGUGUUUAACCACCCACCCCUGUGACUUAGCGGUGGGGCAAAGGACACUGACAGAAUAAACAGGAGGCUUUACAAAACUGAGUGCUAGCUGUGGUCAAGUGAGAGAAAGAAGUAAAAGAUAAGAGAAAAGGUAGGAAGGGCAUCCAGCCAUAGCAACCCUGCCUAAUCAGAUUGGAACCUGGUGCAGCCCUCCUGUUUACCAGUUUCAGUCAAGUUGUCCAACCCAUGCCAGCAUGGAAAGCAGACACUACAUGAUGAUGAUGAUGAUGAUAUAUAUAUACUUGGGAAUGGUCGUAUUUUGCCAAUUUGUUUUUCGGUUGAGCUUAUUAAUAUUUUAAGAGGAGACACAUGGGAUGGAGAGUGACUGAAGAGGUCACAGGAUGUGUGAGGAAAGAGCUGAGAUGGAAAAUAAUAAGAAUGAAGGGAAGAGUGCAUUUGGUUAAUUGGCAAACAUAUGACCAUCCCCAAGGAUAACAAUGUCUGUUUCAACACACAAUUUCACAUCAGGAAUCUUGUGAAACAAUCAAAUAAAUGUGUGUGUGUGGAUAGCUUUGUUAGAUAUUGUAGAAUUCAUGUUGACUGCAACUUCGUUUCAUCAACCAGUCACUGUUCUGUUGUCAUUCUUUAUCUUGCUUAAAAAUAAUGACUUCAUGUUAAUUACACACACACACACACACACACAGGUGUUUGCUAAGCUUGUUACAAUGCAGAAAAUGUAUUUCUUAAAAGGUUAUUGAGAGAGAGAGAGAGAAAUCUCUGGCUUCUCAUCUCUUGUAUUGCAUUGUAAAGAUCUUCCAGAAGCAAACCAUUCCUUAUGCUGCAUUGCUUCGGCCCAAAACCUGCGCUCUGUCAUAUAUGCAUGCACAAGUGCCUUUUCUAAUCUGUGUUUCUAUGUUCAUGCUUGCCUCUGCUUCUACGCGCAUUAGAUGCUGUCGAUAGGCUGAGAGGGACUGACGUUCCUUCCAGGAGAUAGAUUUUACUUCACUUCGCUUCAUCACGCCUUUCCUCAAUUUUUCUGCUGAAAUUGGUAUUGUUGUUGAGAGAUGCACAAGGUCACCUUGGAAUGUUACUGUCCUAUGUCUGCUUUCCUAUCCAAGGCAUGUGUGUGGUGUGUGCUCUCUCUCUCUCUCUCUACUUUUUAUUCUUCACUAUUCUACAGACAAAGGACACACGGACACGGACACACACACAUAUAUAUCUCCUCACUUUAGCUCUACAAUACGACUGUAAGGUGUGUGAUGACAUUAAUGGCCAGGUACCAGCUGAUGGUAUGGUGAUGGUAUGGAAGUGAUAACAUGAUUGUGUAUCACAGGAUGGUAUGGUGAUUGGAGGUGGGUGGAUGGCUGAAAGUAAGGUGGUAGUACGAGGCAGUAUGGAGAGAGUGAGAGAGUAAGGUGAUGGUAUGUGAUGUGUUUAUGGUAUGCAAAUGGUAUGAUGAGGGUAUGGUAUUGUUACAGUGAUGGUAUGGCUUUGUUACAUGACUCUCUCUCUCUCUCUCUUUUCUCUGCCCUCUCAUCGUUUCUCUUCCCAUCUUCUUCUACAGCAACACCCAUUCUUCAGACACAUCAACUGGAAGGAUCUUGCCGAUCGCAAAAUCGAGCCCCCGUUCCGGCCUUAUAUUAGGGGAGAUGAAAUAUUAGCCAUCUUGA
RNAcentral lists this long non-coding RNA (1761 nucleotides) under Octopus sinensis (East Asian common octopus). Its description in RNAcentral is "uncharacterized LOC118760995". The record is from RNAcentral. Lineage: Eukaryota; Metazoa; Mollusca; Cephalopoda; Octopoda; Octopodidae.